GACGAACGCUGGCGGCGUGCUUAACACGUGCAAGUCGAACGGAAAGGCCCUGCUCUUGUGGGUUGCUCGAUUGGCGAACGGGUGAGUAACACGCGAGUAACCUCCCCUUGUCUUUGUGAUAACUUCAGGAAACUGGGGCUAAUACCGGAUAGGAUCUCCUGCUGCAUGGUGGGGGUUGGAAAGUUUCGGCGUUUGGGGAUGUACUCGCGGCUUAUCAGCUUGUUUGUCGGGUAGUUGCUUACCAAGGCUUCGAGGGGUAGCCGGCCUGGGAGGGGGAACGGCCACAUUGGGACUAAGAGACGGCGCAGACGCCUACGGGAGGCAGCAGGGGGAAAUAUUGCACAAUGGGCGGAAGCGUGAGGCAGCAACGCCGCGUGCGGGAUGACGGGUUUCGGGUUGUAAACCGAUUUGGCAGGUGACGAAGCGUGAGUGACGGUAAUGGGUAAAGAAGCACCGGCUAACUACGUG
Molecule: ribosomal RNA, 468 nt
Filed under: uncultured bacterium
Lineage: Bacteria
Description: partial 16S ribosomal RNA
Rfam family: Bacterial small subunit ribosomal RNA
Source: RNAcentral